GGGUGUCUCAAUUAGGGUUUUCUUAUUGACUAAUUAUUGUCCUAAUUAUUGAUUUUAGUGGCAGUUGUUACAUAACUACAUGAUUUGAUCCCCAGAAUCUACAAAUGAUUGGUAAACAAACUAAGUUUUCCGGAAAAACCAUUUUGAUUAAAACAAACUUAAGUGUUUUGAAAUCAUAAUGGGAAAAUAGUUUGUUGUGAUGGGGAGUUUUGAUUGUUUACGCCAAGUGGAUGGAGAAUUGAAGUGAUUCUCAUCAAGUUGUCAAGCUUGUACAGUUUGUUUCAAAUUUUCUCAGAAAAUCAAAAUUGAAACAUAUUUUGAUUUUAGGGGGAGAAAAAUUUUUAAAAAAUUAGAAAAUUUGAAAAAGUCAAAAACAUCGAAAAUUUAAAAACGAGUUUUGUUGUGAAAAAGAGGAAAUGAUAGUAAAUCAGUGGACUAUCACAGCAUGCUAAAGAAAUGUAAUGUCAAAUGUGAUAAAUGAUUUCACUAAAGAUGUGACGAUAGGCUCAGCUAGACUAGUAGAUUUGCGAUAACGAUACAAACAUAAAUGAAAAAGCCUAGUUCUAGUGGGAAACAUGGUUGAAAGCAUAGUACUUAGUUUUGUCCUUCUUGACUGUGUGCCUGCUCAGUAAUCGCUGAUUGUCGAAAGACAUAAAACUGGUUAAGUUUGUGAACUUUCACUACUUUGCUGAAAAAUCGCUGUGAUUGUGCAUUUCAUUUUGCAAAGAUUUAAACUUGUUUGAUUUCUUUUUUUUGUUUAAGCAUCGGACAUCCUCUGCGUAUACGGGAGUAUCGACCUGGAUGUUCUUUGGACCUCCUAUGCGUAUACGGAAGUAUCGACCUGGUGGUUAA
This 852-nucleotide long non-coding RNA is filed under the name Helianthus annuus (common sunflower). RNAcentral describes it as "hypothetical non coding rna". Lineage: Eukaryota; Viridiplantae; Streptophyta; Magnoliopsida; Asterales; Asteraceae. The record is from RNAcentral.